GCUUGCUCUGGCUGACGAGUGGCGCACGGGUGCGUAACGCGUAUACAAUCUACCUAUUACUGGGGUAUAGCCCAGAGAAAUUUGGAUUAAUCCCCCAUAGUAUAAUGAUAUGGCAUCAUAUUAUUAUUAAAACUUCGGUGGUAAUAGAUGAGUAUGCGUCCUAUUAGUUAGUUGGAAAGGUAACGGCUUCCCAAGACAUCGAUAGGUAGGGGUCCUGAGAGGGAGAUCCCCCACACUGGUACUGAGACACGGACCAGACUCCUACGGGAGGCAGCAGUGAGGAAUAUUGGACAAUGGAGGCAACUCUGAUCCAGCCAUGCCGCGUGCAGGAAGACUGCCCUAUGGGUUGUAAACUGCUUUUAUAGAGGAAGAAACCUUUUCACGUGUGAAAAGCUGACGGUACUCUACGAAUAAGGAUCGGCUAACUCCGUGCCAGCAGCCGCGGUAAUACGGAGGAUCCAAGCGUUAUCCGGAAUCAUUGGGUUUAAAGGGUCCGUAGGCGGGCAGUUAAGUCAGUGGUGAAAGUCUUCCGCUCAACGGGAGAAUUGCCAUUGAUACUGAUUGUCUUGAGUUAUUAUGAAGUGGUUAGAAUGAGUAGUGUAGCGGUGAAAUGCAUAGAUAUUACUCAGAAUACCGAUUGCGAAGGGCAGAUCACUAAUAAUAUACCUGACGCCUGAUGGACGAUGUUUGAGUAAUAAUAAGUGGUAGAAUGAAGAGGGUAACGGUGGAAAUGCUAAGAUUUAUUUCAGAGUCGCGAUUGCGGAGACAGGUCCACUGUAAUUAUGGCUGAGGUAGAUGGUAUGAAAGCGUAGGUGAGCGAAACAGGAUUAAGAUACCCUGGGUAGUUUACCGCCCGUAAAGCGAUGGUUAUCUAAGGAUGUCACGGGAUCACUUAGAGGAGCUGGGGUGGCUAAAGCGAUAAGUUGAUAAGUAACCCCACACUGAUGGAUUUACGUUUCGCCAAGAAUGACAACUCAAAGGGAAUUGACCGGGGGGCCCGCAACAUGCUGGUGGAGCAUGGUGGUUUAAAUUCGAUGAUCACGCGAGGAACCUUAUCCAGGGCUGUAAAUGCAGUCCUGGACCGUACUUUGGAAAACAGGUUAUUUAUUCGGACAGAUUGCAGAGGUGCUGCAUUGGUAGUCGUCAGCUCGUGCCGUGAGGUGUCAGGUUAAGUCCUAUAUACGAGCGCAACCCCUGUGGUUAGUUGCCAGCGAGUAAUGUCGGGAACUCUAUGCCAGACUGCCGGUGCAAACCGUGAGGAAGGUGGGGAUGACGUCAAAUCAUCACGGCCCUUACGUCUUGGGCUACACACGUGCUACAAUGGUAGGGACAGAGAGCAGCCACUGGGCGACCAGGAGCGAAUCUAUAAACCCUAUCACAGUUCGGAUCGCAGUCUGCAACUCGACUGCGUGAAGCUGGAAUCGCUAGUAAUCGCAUAUCAGCCAUGAUGCGGUGAAUACGUUCCCGGGCCUUGUACACACCGCCCGUCAAGCCAUGGAAGCUGGGGGUACCUGAAGUCCGUUACCGCAAGGAGCGGCCUAGGGUAAAACUGGUAAGAGGGGAUAAGUCUAACAAGGAGCUGAUCCGAAG
This 1590-nucleotide ribosomal RNA is filed under the name marine bacterium UL4. Its description in RNAcentral is "bacterial SSU rRNA". It matches the Rfam family "Bacterial small subunit ribosomal RNA". The record is from RNAcentral.